UUAAGCGACUAAGCGUACACGGUGGAUGCCCUGGCAGUCAGAGGCGAUGAAGGACGUGCUAAUCUGCGAUAAGCGUCGGUAAGGUGAUAUGAACCGUUAUAACCGGCGAUUUCCGAAUGGGGAAACCCAGUGUGUUUCGACACACUAUCAUUAACUGAAUCCAUAGGUUAAUGAGGCGAACCGGGGGAACUGAAACAUCUAAGUACCCCGAGGAAAAGAAAUCAACCGAGAUUCCCCCAGUAGCGGCGAGCGAACGGGGAGCAGCCCAGAGCCUGAAUCAGUGUGUGUGUUAGUGGAAGCGUCUGGAAAGGCGCGCGAUACAGGGUGACAGCCCCGUACACAAAAAUGCACAUGCUGUGAGCUCGAUGAGUAGGGCGGGACACGUGGUAUCCUGUCUGAAUAUGGGGGGACCAUCCUCCAAGGCUAAAUACUCCUGACUGACCGAUAGUGAACCAGUACCGUGAGGGAAAGGCGAAAAGAACCCCGGCGAGGGGAGUGAAAAAGAACCUGAAACCGUGUACGUACAAGCAGUGGGAGCACGCUUAGGCGUGUGACUGCGUACCUUUUGUAUAAUGGGUCAGCGACUUAUAUUCUGUAGCAAGGUUAACCGAAUAGGGGAGCCGAAGGGAAACCGAGUCUUAACUGGGCGUUAAGUUGCAGGGUAUAGACCCGAAACCCGGUGAUCUAGCCAUGGGCAGGUUGAAGGUUGGGUAACACUAACUGGAGGACCGAACCGACUAAUGUUGAAAAAUUAGCGGAUGACUUGUGGCUGGGGGUGAAAGGCCAAUCAAACCGGGAGAUAGCUGGUUCUCCCCGAAAGCUAUUUAGGUAGCGCCUCGUGAAUUCAUCUCCGGGGGUAGAGCACUGUUUCGGCAAGGGGGUCAUCCCGACUUACCAACCCGAUGCAAACUGCGAAUACCGGAGAAUGUUAUCACGGGAGACACACGGCGGGUGCUAACGUCCGUCGUGAAGAGGGAAACAACCCAGACCGCCAGCUAAGGUCCCAAAGUCAUGGUUAAGUGGGAAACGAUGUGGGAAGGCCCAGACAGCCAGGAUGUUGGCUUAGAAGCAGCCAUCAUUUAAAGAAAGCGUAAUAGCUCACUGGUCGAGUCGGCCUGCGCGGAAGAUGUAACGGGGCUAAACCAUGCACCGAAGCUGCGGCAGCGACNAUGCUGGAGGUAUCAGAAGUGCGAAUGCUGACAUAAGUAACGAUAAAGCGGGUGAAAAGCCCGCUCGCCGGAAGACCAAGGGUUCCUGUCCAACGUUAAUCGGGGCAGGGUGAGUCGACCCCUAAGGCGAGGCCGAAAGGCGUAGUCGAUGGGAAACAGGUUAAUAUUCCUGUACUUGGUGUUACUGCGAAGGGGGGACGGAGAAGGCUAUGUUGGCCGGGCGACGGUUGUCCCGGUUUAAGCGUGUAGGCUGGUUUUCCAGGCAAAUCCGGAAAAUCAAGGCUGAGGCGUGAUGACGAGGCACUACGGUGCUGAAGCAACAAAUGCCCUGCUUCCAGGAAAAGCCUCUAAGCAUCAGGUAACAUCAAAUCGUACCCCAAACCGACACAGGUGGUCAGGUAGAGAAUACCAAGGCGCUUGAGAGAACUCGGGUGAAGGAACUAGGCAAAAUGGUGCCGUAACUUCGGGAGAAGGCACGCUGAUAUGUAGGUGAAGUCCCUCGCGGAUGGAGCUGAAAUCAGUCGAAGAUACCAGCUGGCUGCAACUGUUUAUUAAAAACACAGCACUGUGCAAACACGAAAGUGGACGUAUACGGUGUGACGCCUGCCCGGUGCCGGAAGGUUAAUUGAUGGGGUCAGCGCAAGCGAAGCUCUUGAUCGAAGCCCCGGUAAACGGCGGCCGUAACUAUAACGGUCCUAAGGUAGCGAAAUUCCUUGUCGGGUAAGUUCCGACCUGCACGAAUGGCGUAAUGAUGGCCAGGCUGUCUCCACCCGAGACUCAGUGAAAUUGAACUCGCUGUGAAGAUGCAGUGUACCCGCGGCAAGACGGAAAGACCCCGUGAACCUUUACUAUAGCUUGACACUGAACAUUGAGCCUUGAUGUGUAGGAUAGGUGGGAGGCUUUGAAGUGUGGACGCCAGUCUGCAUGGAGCCGGCCUUGAAAUACCACCCUUUAAUGUUUGAUGUUCUAACGUUGACCCGUGAUCCGGGUUGCGGACAGUGUCUGGUGGGUAGUUUGACUGGGGCGGUCUCCUCCUAAAGAGUAACGGAGGAGCACGAAGGUUGGCUAAUCCUGGUCGGACAUCAGGAGGUUAGUGCAAUGGCAUAAGCCAGCUUGACUGCGAGCGUGACGGCGCGAGCAGGUGCGAAAGCAGGUCAUAGUGAUCCGGUGGUUCUGAAUGGAAGGGCCAUCGCUCAACGGAUAAAAGGUACUCCGGGGAUAACAGGCUGAUACCGCCCAAGAGUUCAUAUCGACGGCGGUGUUUGGCACCUCGAUGUCGGCUCAUCACAUCCUGGGGCUGAAGUAGGUCCCAAGGGUAUGGCUGUUCGCCAUUUAAAGUGGUACGCGAGCUGGGUUUAGAACGUCGUGAGACAGUUCGGUCCCUAUCUGCCGUGGGCGCUGGAGAACUGAGGGGGGCUGCUCCUAGUACGAGAGGACCGGAGUGGACGCAUCACUGGUGUUCGGGUUGUCAUGCCAAUGGCACUGCCCGGUAGCUAAAUGCGGAAGAGAUAAGUGCUGAAAGCAUCUAAGCACGAAACUUGCCCCGAGAUGAGUUCUCCCUGACUCCUUGAGAGUCCUGAAGGAACGUUGAAGACGACGACGUUGAUAGGCCGGGUGUGUAAGCGCAGCGAUGCGUUGAGCUAACCGGUACUAAUGAACCGUGAGGCUUAACCUU
RNAcentral lists this ribosomal RNA (2844 nucleotides) under Escherichia coli. RNAcentral describes it as "bacterial LSU rRNA". It matches the Rfam family "Bacterial large subunit ribosomal RNA". Lineage: Bacteria; Pseudomonadati; Pseudomonadota; Gammaproteobacteria; Enterobacterales; Enterobacteriaceae. The record is from RNAcentral.